This 253-nucleotide ribosomal RNA is filed under the name uncultured bacterium. RNAcentral describes it as "partial 16S ribosomal RNA". It matches the Rfam family "Bacterial small subunit ribosomal RNA", at positions 524 to 776 of the family's 1533-position model. The record is from RNAcentral.
UACGGGGGGGGCAAGCGUUGUUCGGAAUUACUGGGCGUAAAGGGCUCGUAGGUGGCCAACUAAGUCAGACGUGAAAUCCCUCGGCUUAACCGGGGAACUGCGUCUGAUACUGGAUGGCUUGAGGUUGGGAGAGGGAUGCGGAAUUCCAGGUGUAGCGGUGAAAUGCGUAGAUAUCUGGAGGAACACCGGUGGCGAAGGCGGCAUCCUGGACCAAUUCUGACACUGAGGAGCGAAAGCCAGGGGAGCGAACGGG